GGUUAAGCGACUAAGCGUACACGGUGGAUGCCCUGGCAGUCAGAGGCGAUGAAGGGCGUGCUAAUCUGCGAUAAGCGCCGGUAAGGUGAUAUGAACCGUUAUAACCGGCGAUACCCGAAUGGGGAAACCCAGUGUGACUCGUCACACUAUCAUUAACUGAAUCCAUAGGUUAAUGAGGCGAACCGGGGGAACUGAAACAUCUAAGUACCCCGAGGAAAAGAAAUCAACCGAGAUUCCCCCAGUAGCGGCGAGCGAACGGGGAGGAGCCCAGAGCCUGAAUCAGCAUGUGUGUUAGUGGAAGCGUCUGGAAAGGCGCGCGAUACAGGGUGACAGCCCCGUACACAAAAGCGCAUGUGCUGUGAGCUCGAUGAGUAGGGCGGGACACGUGGUAUCCUGUCUGAAUAUGGGGGGACCAUCCUCCAAGGCUAAAUACUCCUGACUGACCGAUAGUGAACCAGUACCGUGAGGGAAAGGCGAAAAGAACCCCGGCGAGGGGAGUGAAAAAGAACCUGAAACCGUGUACGUACAAGCAGUGGGAGCCCCACCACCAAAGCAUUAUCUGGUGUUGAAGGCCCUGCAAAGCAGCAUCGCGGUGGCGGAGCGUCGUUUGCGACGCCCAACACACAAAACAAGCGGUGAAUGCUUUGGGGUGGGGUGACUGCGUACCUUUUGUAUAAUGGGUCAGCGACUUAUAUUCUGUAGCAAGGUUAACCGAAUAGGGGAGCCGGAGGGAAACCGAGUCUUAAUUGGGCGUUAAGUUGCAGGGUAUAGACCCGAAACCCGGUGAUCUAGCCAUGGGCAGGUUGAAGGUUGGGUAACACUAACUGGAGGACCGAACCGACUAAUGUUGAAAAAUUAGCGGAUGACCUGUGGCUGGGGGUGAAAGGCCAAUCAAACCGGGAGAUAGCUGGUUCUCCCCGAAAGCUAUUUAGGUAGCGCCUCGUGAAUUCAUCUCCGGGGGUAGAGCACUGUUUCGGCUAGGGGGCCAUCCCGGCUUACCAACCCGAUGCAAACUGCGAAUACCGGAGAAUGUUAUCACGGGAGACACACGGCGGGUGCUAACGUCCGUCGUGAAGAGGGAAACAACCCAGACCGCCAGCUAAGGUCCCAAAGUCAUGGUUAAGUGGGAAACGAUGUGGGAAGGCCCAGACAGCCAGGAUGUUGGCUUAGAAGCAGCCAUCAUUUAAAGAAAGCGUAAUAGCUCACUGGUCGAGUCGGCCUGCGCGGAAGAUGUAACGGGGCUAAACCAUGCACCGAAGCUGCGGCAGCGACGCUGAUGCGUUGUUGGGUAGGGGAGCGUUCUGUAAGCCUGCGAAGGUGACCUGUGAGGGUUGCUGGAGGUAUCAGAAGUGCGAAUGCUGACAUAAGUAACGAUAAAGCGGGUGAAAAGCCCGCUCGCCGGAAGACCAAGGGUUCCUGUCCAACGUUAAUCGGGGCAGGGUGAGUCGACCCCUAAGGCGAGGCCGAAAGGCGUAGUCGAUGGGAAACGGGUUAAUAUUCCCGUACUUGGUGUUACUGCGAAGGGGGGACGGAGAAGGCUAUGUUGGCCGGGCGACGGUUGUCCCGGUUUAAGCGUGUAGGUGUGUGUUCCAGGUAAAUCCGGUUCACUUUAACACUGAGGCGUGAUGACGAGGCACUACGGUGCUGAAGCAACAAAUGCCCUGCUUCCAGGAAAAGCCUCUAAGCAUCAGGUAACAUCAAAUCGUACCCCAAACCGACACAGGUGGUCAGGUAGAGAAUACCAAGGCGCUUGAGAGAACUCGGGUGAAGGAACUAGGCAAAAUGGUGCCGUAACUUCGGGAGAAGGCACGCUGACACGUAGGUGAAGUGAUUUACUCACGGAGCUGAAGUCAGUCGAAGAUACCAGCUGGCUGCAACUGUUUAUUAAAAACACAGCACUGUGCAAACACGAAAGUGGACGUAUACGGUGUGACGCCUGCCCGGUGCCGGAAGGUUAAUUGAUGGGGUCAGCGCAAGCGAAGCUCCUGAUCGAAGCCCCGGUAAACGGCGGCCGUAACUAUAACGGUCCUAAGGUAGCGAAAUUCCUUGUCGGGUAAGUUCCGACCUGCACGAAUGGCGU
This 2080-nucleotide ribosomal RNA is filed under the name Salmonella enterica subsp. enterica serovar Typhimurium str. ST4581. Its description in RNAcentral is "bacterial LSU rRNA". It matches the Rfam family "Bacterial large subunit ribosomal RNA", at positions 1 to 2002 of the family's 2925-position model. Lineage: Bacteria; Pseudomonadati; Pseudomonadota; Gammaproteobacteria; Enterobacterales; Enterobacteriaceae. The record is from RNAcentral.